AGAAGACAGCGCGCUAGCGUAUCUAGUCUAUGUAUAUCUAUGGUCGGCACGUCUGGUAGCAUCUCUGGCUGCUGUUGACCUUGUUUUUGGAGUAAAACACGGUGGAAGCUGAAUUAGUGAGGAUGACUCCUGCUCCUGUCAUCUCUAAGCUCCUCACACAUCUUUACCUGCACAUGAGGAAAAUCACUCCUGUAGAAUGCAGAUGUUCAGAGGGAGAUGAUGCCACAUCUGGUCCAGCUGAUGGAAGGUCUUGAAGUUCUCUGACUGGCCUCGACUGAAGAUGGUCGUCUCACUGGAUUUAAGGUUCAGAUGCUCAGUAACAAACUCCACCAAUGAGCCAACAGGGAAGCUUGAGGUUUAUUAAAUGUUGCUAUGAAGGUAUCGCUGUUUUUCUUAGUGAAUGCAAUGUGCUCCAACUGAAACUUGAAUUAGAACUUAGAAGUAAAUCCUUCCAUCUGACAGGAUUUAGUUGCAUUAAUAACCUCAUAACAUUCUAAUUUUUAUUCCAGUCUUGGUUGAAAAUAGAAUCUCUGUAUUGAUUCAGGUAAAAACUGAACUUCACAGCAUGUUGGAGCAAAACAACCAGAUGAAAACUGUGAUGGUGUUGGAUUGUCAGACCGUAAUGUUGCAGCUCAAAGCAGCUUUUCUAUCUCAGUUCAUUCUGACAUUCAGCUAUGAAUCAACACAGCAGAUGGUGAUCCAUGCUGUGGAAGUCUCACAUCUCCUGAUUUAAUGGAGCUGCUUUGCACUUUUUACACUGUUUAUUCACCAACACUUUAUUUAAUAAAAGUCCCAUCUAGUUUUUAUGAGGAAUGUGAUGUUUUAAUUUCUCUGUGAAUAACUGCAGUCUAAUGCAACAGCUGGAGUUGUAACAUCUGUCCUGAUAUUGAUCAUGAAGUAUUGAUCAGAAUACUUAUGAUUAGCAGUCAUCCCUGAAGUUUUACAUUAAAAUCUUUACUUGUGUUGUGAACUUUGGUAAGAAGCAGAAACUUUAGCGUUGCCAUGGAUACAUGAGUGUUAAAUUCUGUCCAUGUUUCCAUUUUGGGAAAUUCAGUCCAGUUCCAGAAUGUGGAGGAAUUUAGUCUCAAUCACAGUCAACAAAUAUUAUCUGAAAGUCGGGUUAUUGUUGUUUAUCAGCACAAUAGAAAAAAGAUUAAUGUUAGAAAUAUUCCAGUUAAGACUCUAGAAUAUCAUGAUUUAUGUAAAUUUACCUCAAUAAUAUGAAUGUUCAGUUUGAUUGUGCAGUGAUUUUUAUUCUGUAAGUUCAGCUGAUUAAAGUUUGACUCUGCACUACAAUAUUAUUUAUUAUUUAAAUUUACAUCAUUAUUAUAAUAUUUAGGGUCAGACCCUACAGUAUUGAGAUUAAGAAAUCAAAUAUUCUAUAAAAUGUAAAUAUACUGAACUCAUUUGGAUAUAUUUAAGUGAGACUCUACAAUAUUAUUUGACACAAAUGUAUCUAAAUCAAAAUUUUAAUAAUUUUCAUGCCAAACAUUUACUGGACUGAUUUAAAUAUUAAAAUCACUCCUUUCUAAUCCUCUGCUGUACGUUCAAACCUGAGGCCUUAAAUAGAAACACACAAGUAUCUGAUUGAAGGAACUUCUGCAGAGUCCUGGUUCCAGAACAUGAUGAUAGAAUUAUAGACAAACUUUAACAAAAGCUGCCUGAGAGUUUACAGGUUUUUAUGUUGGAUUUCUUCAGUAAUUUAAUGAGAUUUAUCAGCAAAAAUCAAGUGUUCAUUUGAUGAACUUCAUUUCCUAAAACAUCCAGAAUUGGAGCUCAUAUCUUUGGCAGUUGUAAAGUUUCUGCUCCUUCAAAGUUCACAACACAAUAAAUGAAUUCCUAAAACACUCUCAAUGCUGGAGAGUGUUUGAUGCUGAAGCAGUGAUCAGUUUUUCUGUUUCUUCUCUGGAGAUGCACAAUGAGGGACGUCUGCAGUGACUGAGAAAGAGUCUCACCACAUCCUGACAUGAGGAAAAAGACUUUAUUGAAGACUACAAUGAGAAAAACUAUCAGACAGCAGACGGCUGCAUUCAAGUCUGUAGCUGCUGAAUUCAUGGAUGAAUCAUCUGGCACUAGAGAGGAAGACCAUCAAAUAUCCACGUCAGCUGAUGGAGGUCCAAGAGUCUCACCCAACAACCAACCUACAGAGUGAAGACCUUGAAUCUGAUUGGACGGCCUCCUAUUCAGCCACAUUUUAGGCUGUUAGAUUGUUCCAGAUAAGACAAGUACAAGAUUCUUCAGAGCCGUUCUACCACGAGCCUGACAGGAAGAACUCUAACAGCUACUGAAUGUUCCUGUGGUUCCCUCAAGGCUACAGGAGGAGUCCUACGAGGACGAGCCGGUCCACCUGAUGGAGGCCAGUCGCUGCAGUUCAAAGCCAACACCGACUAUGUGGACUUCUACUGGACCACACGGAGGCCUUCAAACCGGACCAACAAGUUCAGCGACUCCCCGACUCGUGGGUCUGAGGACGCCGCCAAGCCUCGGUCCAGCCGGCCUCCUGUCUGGGUGUUUGAGUGCUGAGAGACUUGACCGUGAAUACCAUUGACACCCACCUGAGGGAGACGCUGUCUAAGAUCUCAAGGCUGCUUGGUCGUGGUCUUUCUGGUCCUGCUCCAGAACGCCUUCAUCAACUACGUCUUCUAUUAAAGAGGCCCUCAGAUGCUGCAAUCUCUGACCUUAAGGAGGAACUGCUACUUUCACUCUGUAACGAGACGGUGAUUAUUUUAAAGACCCAGCUCCUGGCGGCUUUGAGUGAAAAUUUAACAUCCAUCAAAACGGAACUACAGACAGUUAAAUCUGAGCUGUCAGUCAGUAUUUCAAACAUCAAGUCCGACCCGGCUGCCCUAAAGCACGCUGUGGGUGAAACGGAAACUUCACUCUCCACAUCACCGACGACAUCGUCACACUCCAAAGCAGAGCACCUGUCUGCUGAACUUUUAAAAGUGGACUAUAAAUGUGAACAAUGUGAGCAGCAGCAGACUGUGAGCAGCAGAACAGAUGUAAUCAGAAAGAAGUCAUUUUCUUUUUUCUUUUCUUUCUGGUUGACUUGAUGCUG
Amphiprion ocellaris (clown anemonefish) is the source of this 3058-nucleotide long non-coding RNA. The record is from Ensembl. NCBI's taxonomy places the organism in Eukaryota, Metazoa, Chordata, Actinopteri, Pomacentridae.